CGCGAGGAAAAAAGUUCCCGGGCGGCCUGGCUGCGCUCGCUCGCGGCCCCGAGCGCCAGGUGGACCGUGCGCGCCCCGACAGCACCCCCUGGCGGUCCGAGCGCCCCACUGCAGCCCCCCCCCCGCCCGCGCUCCGGCCGGGGUUGGGGGUGGGGUCUGGCGCAGCCCUGAACGACUCUCACGGGCCCGCCUCGAAGCUGGGGACCGGGGCCACAGUAGAGCUGAGGAUUUGGGCUCAAAUCCUGCCAUCAGAUGCUUCCAGUCAAUUUCAAAACUCCCUCAGGUGGGUGCCCACUGCCAUCUGUUUGGGAAGCUGCCCCCCCACCCCACCCAGCCUCAGGACCAGAUCAGCAACCUCACUGAAGCCUGUUCCAUUGUCCUUUGCUGGAGGUAAUGUUUCCUGCCUGGGGAGAGAGACUGCAGUGGCUGAAGUCUGGAAACGGAGCAAGGUCUAUUUUGGAAUAGCAACCAGAUCUCCAGCUCUUUCACUCGUUCACCCAGCGGUGUGUCACAUUCCCCCCACCUCCCCUAUAUGUGCCCCUGUCCUUAUAGAGGACACAUGUGGCUGCAGAUGGAGUCAUCUGGAUCUGCUGAGAUCAUCUCUGCAUCUCCACAUCCUGAUCACACCUGCAAAGACUCACCCUACCUCUUGCCAUGUUAAAACUCAAUCUCCAAUGUAACAGCAUUGAAGAGUGCUGAGGAUGCCGGGGAUUUAGCUCAGUGGCCUCACAAGCGCAAGGUCCCGAGUUCGAUCCCUGGUACCAAAAGAAAGAAAGAAAGAAAGAAAAGAAAGAAAGAAAGGAAAGUGUUGAGGUCACGAGGCUCUGUCUCUGGAAUGAAUUAAUGCUGCUCUUGAUAAGGAAAUAAUGGAUAACAGGGCAGGCCUCUGUCUGUUGCCAAACCUCCCCCCUCCAUGUUUUUGCCAUAAGUUGUUCUGUUUAAGCAAUGUAACUGUUAAAGGUGCAUGAUGUUCC
Molecule: long non-coding RNA, 974 nt
Filed under: Heterocephalus glaber (naked mole-rat)
Lineage: Eukaryota; Metazoa; Chordata; Mammalia; Rodentia; Bathyergidae
Description: lncRNA (ENSHGLG00100035001.1)
Source: RNAcentral